This 284-nucleotide ribosomal RNA is filed under the name Neglectibacter timonensis. RNAcentral describes it as "partial 16S ribosomal RNA". It matches the Rfam family "Bacterial small subunit ribosomal RNA", at positions 494 to 776 of the family's 1533-position model. Lineage: Bacteria; Bacillati; Bacillota; Clostridia; Eubacteriales; Oscillospiraceae. The record is from RNAcentral.
UAUUUUCCUUUUUUUCCCUCCGCCGCGGUAAUACGUAGGGAGCAAGCGUUGUCCGGAUUUACUGGGUGUAAAGGGUGCGUAGGCGGAUUGGCAAGUCAGAAGUGAAAUCCAUGGGCUUAACCCAUGAACUGCUUUUGAAACUGUUAGUCUUGAGUGAAGUAGAGGUAGGCGGAAUUCCCGGUGUAGCGGUGAAAUGCGUAGAGAUCGGGAGGAACACCAGUGGCGAAGGCGGCCUACUGGGCUUUAACUGACGCUGAGGCACGAAAGUGUGGGUAGCAAACAGG